UGUCGCUGUAGAUUUAGCAGUACAUUACUGUAAAAAUCCACAGUACUAUACUGUAUGUAUACAUUACAGUACAGUACUGCAGUUCAUAAUGCAUUCUGGGUAAAUUUGUUUGAGCGGGAAAAUUUUACAGUAUCUUUUGGUCUUGAUGUAACCUUGCUGUAGCCAUUGCUGUAAUGUGCCAGGUGUACUUGCAAUAAUCAGAGAAAGUGCGCCAACGUCAAAUCACACAGACAGAGGGAGAGCACAACUCCUGGCUGCAGCUGAAGGAGGAUGAUUGAUUUCUGGCAGUUCGUCUUACCAUUGCUUGUAAGCUGGAUUGGGUAAGAUGGAUCAUCUUUAAAGGCACCAGGAGUUAAGGCAGAUGUGGAGGCACAACGGGUGAUACCAGACACACACCAAGCACAUUAUGUUCGGACAUUAAAUCAUGACAGGAUCCAGGUGGAUGCUGUCCAUUGAGGAAAGAGUUUGUUCAGCGGUUUCUGGAUAGAAUUAAUUCCAAAGAUGGGAAAAAGUGCACAUCCAGACAAGGAGCAAGCAAAAAGACAAGGAACUUGGUGCAGAGAAAAGCUGUGGCCAUUAACCCCCAUGUGAACAGCUUCAUGCAGUCCCUGAUUGAGUUCGAAUGGACGACUUCAAAGUAAAGGCCACUGUGGUCUGUCUGCCACAGUUUAAUGCAUUUAUUUUUAGUGUUAAAUGAAAUUUAAGUAGAAUAUUUAAAACUAUGGGCCAUUGUUCUUUUUACCACAGUGAAAUGUUACCUUUUAGUCGAUGAUGGACUUUAAACUGAAAACUUCAAACUAUGGACCUGUGUUCUAUUUGCCAGAGUUAAAUAUGUUACAGCAGGGGUCUCCAAACUUGUUUAUACUUGUUGAUUUUAUUUUAUGUUACUUGAUUAUAUGUUUAUUAUUGUUUAAAAUCUUGUUUUAAAUAUGUUUGUUUCAAUUAAAUGU
Paramisgurnus dabryanus is the source of this 950-nucleotide long non-coding RNA. RefSeq lists it as uncharacterized. The record is from RefSeq and is a predicted model, not a curated record. Lineage: Eukaryota; Metazoa; Chordata; Actinopteri; Cypriniformes; Cobitidae.